This 2375-nucleotide ribosomal RNA is filed under the name Lepidotrigona ventralis hoosana. Its description in RNAcentral is "bacterial LSU rRNA". It matches the Rfam family "Bacterial large subunit ribosomal RNA", at positions 1 to 2389 of the family's 2925-position model. Lineage: Eukaryota; Metazoa; Arthropoda; Insecta; Hymenoptera; Apidae. The record is from RNAcentral.
UCAAGAGAAGAAGGGCGCACGGUGAAUGCCUAGGCAGUUAAAGGCGAAGAAGGACGUGACUAACCACGAAAGGCUUCGGGGAGUUGUAAGUAAACAGAGAACCGGAGAUAUCCGAAUGGGGGAACCCAAUACAGAGAUGUAUUAUUGUUUAAUGAAUACAUAGUUAAGCAAGGCAAGACGCAGUGAACUGAAACAUCUAAGUAGCUGCAGGAAGAGAAAGAAAGAUCGAUUUCCCUAGUAGCGGCGAGCGAAGAGGAAAGAGCCCAAACCGAUUGAUUUAUCAAUGGGGGUUAUAGGACUACGAGAAGGCACUGUAAGAGAUAGCAGAAUUAUCUGGGAAGGUAAGCCAGAGAGGGUGAGAGCCCCGUAAGCGAAAUUUCAAGCAGGCUGAGUAGGAUCCUGAGUAGGUCGGAACACGAGGAAUUCCGAUUGAAUUAGCGAGGACCAUCUCGUAAGGCUAAAUACUAAUAACUGACCGAUAGUGAACCAGUACCGUGAGGGAAAGGUGAAAAGAACCCCGGAAGGGGAGUGAAAUAGAACCUGAAACCGUGUGCCUACAAGUAGUCAGAGCACGAUAAAGUGUGAUGGCGUGCCUUUUGUAGAAUGAACCGGCGAGUUACGUUAUAUAGCAAGGUUAAGUGAGAAAAGACGGAGCCGAAGCGAAAGCGAGUCUGAAGAGGGCGAGAGAGUUGUAUGACGUAGACCCGAAACCAAGUGACCUAUCCAUGACCAGGUUGAAGGUGUGGUAAAACACACUGGAGGACCGAACCCACGUAAGUUAAAAAUUGCGGGGAUGAGUUGUGGAUAGCGGUGAAAUUCCAAACGAACUUGGAGAUAGCUGGUUCUCUCCGAAAUAGCUUUAGGGCUAGCCUCGUGGAAAGGAUAAUGGAGGUAGAGCUCUGUUUGGACGAAGGGCCCGUCAGGGGUUACUGAAUUCAGAUAAACUGCGAAUUCCAUGAAUCUAUACACGGGAGUCAGACUGCGAGUGAUAAGAUCCGUAGUCGAAAGGGAAACAGCCCAGAUCACCAGUUAAGGUCCCAAAAUCUAUGCUAAGUGGAAAAGGAUGUGGAGUUGCGUAGACAACUAGGAUGUUGGCUUAGAAGCAGCCAUCAUUAAAAGAGUGCGUAAUAGCUCACUAGUCGAGUGACGCUGCGCCGAAAAUUUACCGGGGCUAAGCAUAGUACCGAAACUGUGGAUGUUCAUUGAAAGAGAUGAACGUGGUAGGAGAGCGUUCUAAAUGCGGAGAAGGUUGACCGAGAGGACAAUUGGAGCGUUUAGAAGUGAGAAUGCCGGUAUGAGUAGCGCAAGAUAGGUGAGAAUCCUAUCCGCCGAAAGACUAAGGUUUCCUGGGGCAGGCUCGUCCGCCCAGGGUAAGUCGGGACCUAAGGUAAGGCCGAAAGGCGUAGCCGAUGGACAACAGGUAGAGAUUCCUGUACUGUGUUAAAUCGUUAAUAGCGAAGGAGGGACGCAGGAGGCAAGGAACGCAUGGCGCUGGAAGCCAUGUUCAAGCGUUAAGUAUGAGAGUGAGUUAAAUGCUUGCUUUCAAGAAGUACAAGACGUGAAGAGGAGCGAAAUUAAAGUAGCGAAGGUUCUGUAGUCACACUGCCAAGAAAAGCUUCUAGUGAGAGAUAACAUACCCGUACCGCAAACCGACACAGGUAGUCGAGUGGAGAACACUAAGGUGAGCGAGAGAACUCUCGUUAAGGAACUCGGCAAAAUGACCCCGUAACUUCGGGAGAAGGGGUGCUGAUCAAGAGAUCAGCCGCAGUGAAUAGGCCCAAACAACUGUUUAUCAAAAACACAGGUAUCUGCAAAGUCGUAAGACGACGUAUAGGUGCUGACACCUGCCCGGUGCUGGAAGGUUAAGAAGAGAGCUUAGCGCAAGCGAAGGUUCGAAUUGAAGCCCCAGUAAACGGCGGCCGUAACUAUAACGGUCCUAAGGUAGCGAAAUUCCUUGUCGGGUAAGUUCCGACCUGCACGAAAGGUGUAAUGAUUUGGGCACUGUCUCAACGAGAGACUCGGUGAAAUUAUAAUACCCGUGAAGAUGCGGGUUACCCGCGACAGGACGGAAAGACCCCAUGGAGCUUUACUGCAAUUUGAUAUUGGGUAGCUGUUAAACAUGUACAGGAUAGGUAGGAGCCAGAGAAGAUAGUACGCUAGUAUUAUCAGAGGCAAUGUUGGGAUACUACCCUUGUUUGAUGGCUACUCUAACCUCGACCUAUAAGCUAGGCCAGGGACAGUGUCAGACGGGCAGUUUGACUGGGGCGGUCGCCUCCUAAAGAGUAACGGAGGCGCCCAAAGGUUCCCUCAGAAUGGUUGGAAAUCAUUCACAGAGUGUAAAGGUAUAAGGGAGCUUGACUGCGAGAGAGACAACU